ACAUCCAGAGAAUUUAGCAGAGAUGCUUUAGUGCCUUCGGGAACUCUGAGACAGGUGCUGCAUGGCUGUCGUCAGCUCGUGUUGUGAAAUGUUGGGUUAAGUCCCGNAACGAGCGCAACCCUUUAUCCUUUGUUGCCAGCACGUAAUGGUGGGAACUCAAAGGAGACUGCCGGUGAUAAACCGGAGGAAGGUGGGGAUGACGUCAGGUCAUCAUGGCCCUUACGAGUAGGGCUACACACGUGCUACAAUGGCGCAUACAAAGAGAAGCGACCUCGCGAGAGCAAGCGGACCUCAUAAAGUGCGUCGUAGUCCGGAUUGGAGUCUGCAACUCGACUCCAUGAAGUCGGAAUCGCUAGUAAUCGUAAAUCAGAAUGUUACGGUGAAUACGUUCCCGGGCCUUGUACACACCGCCCGUCACACCAUGGGAGUGGGUUGCAAAAGAAGUAGAUAGCUUAACCUUCGGGAGGGCGUUUACCACUUUGUGAUUCAUGACUGGGGUGAAGUCGUAACAAGGUAAGCGUAGUGCU
RNAcentral lists this ribosomal RNA (527 nucleotides) under uncultured bacterium. RNAcentral's name for it is "bacterial SSU rRNA". It matches the Rfam family "Bacterial small subunit ribosomal RNA", at positions 984 to 1509 of the family's 1533-position model. The record is from RNAcentral.